GGUGUGGGGGGACAUUCCACGUUUUCCGCGCCGUAGCUAACGCAUUAAGUGCCCCGCCUGGGGAGUACGGCCGCAAGGCUAAAACUCAAAGGAAUUGACGGGGGCCCGCACAAGCGGCGGAGCAUGCGGAUUAAUUCGAUGCAACGCGAAGAACCUUACCAAGGCUUGACAUGGGCCGGACCGGGCUGGAAACAGUCCUUCCCCUUUGGGGCCGGUUCACAGGUGGUGCAUGGUUGUCGUCAGCUCGUGUCGUGAGAUGUUGGGUUAAGUCCCGCAACGAGCGCAACCCUCGUUCCAUGUUGCCAGCGCGUAAUGGCGGGGACUCAUGGGAGACUGCCGGGGUCAACUCGGA
RNAcentral lists this ribosomal RNA (352 nucleotides) under Arthrobacter sp. Its description in RNAcentral is "bacterial SSU rRNA". It matches the Rfam family "Bacterial small subunit ribosomal RNA", at positions 819 to 1167 of the family's 1533-position model. The record is from RNAcentral. Lineage: Bacteria; Bacillati; Actinomycetota; Actinomycetes; Micrococcales; Micrococcaceae.